UCCUUUAAAAUAAGGAAAAUUAUAUUAUAAUUGAUUCCUUGAAAUAUUUAUUUCCCUUAUUUGUUCCCCCCUCCUCUACUAUAUAAAGAGACUCCUUUUAUUCAUUCACACACUCAUUCACUCUCAAUCACAAAUCCUCUCAUCACUCUCUCUUCUCUCAUUGCUCUCUUGCUACUUUAACAACACAUUAAUAUUUCGGUAAUUAUCCAAGGGUUCUUCUUGGCUAUUUUCCUACUUUGUUCAAGUAAAAGGUGAAUCAAUUUGUUUUGCUUAAACAGCUAUUUGAUUACUUUGACAGGUUUCAUACUUGAAGUUCAAGUUGAAGAUUAACUGAAGAAGGAUUUAUUUAUUUGUUUGAAUGUAUAUAUAUAUCUAUAUAUUUUUAUUUUUUUCGCUAUUUUAUUUAUUCGAAUGUUGUAACAAUUGUAACCCUAAAGAUCAUAUAAUAAAUUUAUUUAGGGGUCGUCUAGGGGAGGGGGAUUUAUAUGCUUA
This is a long non-coding RNA of Solanum pennellii, 492 nucleotides long. RefSeq lists it as uncharacterized. The transcript is spliced from 2 exons. Lineage: Eukaryota; Viridiplantae; Streptophyta; Magnoliopsida; Solanales; Solanaceae. The record is from RefSeq and is a predicted model, not a curated record.